GAUGAGCGCUGGCGGCGUGCCUAAUACAUGCAAGUCGAGCGAACAGACGAGGAGCUUGCUCCUCUGACGUUAGCGGCGGACGGGUGAGUAACACGUGGAUAACCUACCUAUAAGACUGGGAUAACUUCGGGAAACCGGAGCUAAUACCGGAUAAUAUAUUGAACCGCAUGGUUCAAUAGUGAAAGACGGUUUUGCUGUCACUGAUAGAUGGAUCCGCGCCGCAUUAGCUAGUUGGUAAGGUAACGGCUUACCAAGGCAACGAUGCGUAGCCGACCUGAGAGGGUGAUCGGCCACACUGGAACUGAGACACGGUCCAGACUCCUACGGGAGGCAGCAGUAGGGAAUCUUCCGCAAUGGGCGAAAGCUUGACGGAGCAACGCCGCGUGAGUGAUGAAGGUCUUCGGAUCGUAAAACUCUGUUAUUAGGGAAGAACAAAUGUGUAAGUAACUAUGCACGUCUUGACGGUACCUAAUCAGAAAGCCACGGCUAACUACGUG
This 497-nucleotide ribosomal RNA is filed under the name uncultured bacterium. Its description in RNAcentral is "partial 16S ribosomal RNA". It matches the Rfam family "Bacterial small subunit ribosomal RNA", at positions 28 to 507 of the family's 1533-position model. The record is from RNAcentral.